This 208-nucleotide long non-coding RNA is filed under the name Nicotiana benthamiana. RNAcentral's name for it is "long non-coding RNA (NBEN_LNC000275)". Lineage: Eukaryota; Viridiplantae; Streptophyta; Magnoliopsida; Solanales; Solanaceae. The record is from RNAcentral.
UCACUCGCCUAACCUCGACCACGGACUCCCUUAGGUCCCUAUCUACCAAGAUGUCCACUCCACUCUUACCUCUCACGACCCCAGAAUACCACAGCUUAAACCAUCUACAUUCCUCGCCUUCGACCCUUUCCACCUAGUCUCCUGGAACACACGCUAUGUUAACCCUCUUCCUCUGAAGAACCUUCGCCAACUCUAUGGACUUACCCGU